UACGUAGGGUGCGAGCGUUGUCCGGAAUUAUUGGGCGUAAAGGGCUCGUAGGCGGUUUGUCGCGUCGGGAGUGAAAUCCACUGGCUUAACUGGUGGCUUGCUUUCGAUACGAGCAGACUGGAGGUAUGCAGGGGAGAACGGAAUUCCUGGUGUAGCGGUGAAAUGCGCAGAUAUCAGGAGGAACACCGGUGGCGAAGGCGGCUUGCUGGGCCUUACCUGACGCUGAGGAGCGAAAGCGUGGGGAGCGAACAGG
RNAcentral lists this ribosomal RNA (253 nucleotides) under uncultured bacterium. Its description in RNAcentral is "partial 16S ribosomal RNA". It matches the Rfam family "Bacterial small subunit ribosomal RNA", at positions 524 to 776 of the family's 1533-position model. The record is from RNAcentral.